Molecule: ribosomal RNA, 1487 nt
Filed under: unidentified
Also listed under: 1 other name
Description: bacterial SSU rRNA
Rfam family: Bacterial small subunit ribosomal RNA
Source: RNAcentral
AGAGUUUGAUCCUGGCUCAGGAUAAACGCUGGCGGCGCACAUAAGACAUGCAAGUCGAACGGACUUAACCGAAGUAUUUAUGUUUUGGAGCGGUUAGUGGCGGACUGGUGAGUAACACGUAAGCAACCUGCCUAUUAGAGGGGAAUAACAGUGAGAAAUCAUUGCUAAUACCGCAUAUGCUGUGAGUAUCGCAUGGUACAAACAGGAAAGGAGUAAUCCGCUAAUAGAUGGGCUUGCGUCUGAUUAGAUAGUUGGUGGGGUAACGGCCUACCAAGUCAACGAUCAGUAGCCGAACUGAGAGGUUGAACGGCCACAUUGGGACUGAGAUACGGCCCAGACUCCUACGGGAGGCAGCAGUCGGGAAUAUUGCACAAUGGAGGAGACUUUGAUGCAGUGACGCCGCGUGCAGGAAGAAGGUUUUCGGAUUGUAAACUGCUUUAGACAGGGAAGAAACAAGACAGUACCUGUAGAAUAAGCUCCGGCUAACUACGUGCCAGCAGCCGCGGUAAUACGUAGGGAGCAAGCGUUAUCCGGAUUUAUUGGGUGUAAAGGGUGCGUAGACGGGAAUUUAAGUUAGUUGUGAAAUCCCUCGGCUUAACUGAGGAACUGCAACUAAAACUGAAUUUCUUGAGUGCGGGAGAGGAAAGUGGAAUUCCUAGUGUAGCGGUGAAAUGCGUAGAUAUUAGGAGGAACACCAGUGGCGAAGGCGACUUUCUGGACCGUAACUGACGUUGAGGCACGAAAGUGUGGGGAGCAAACAGGAUUAGAUACCCUGGUAGUCCACACUGUAAACGAUGGAUACUAGGUGUAGGGAAUAUUAAGUUUUCUGUGCCGUCGCAAACGCAAUAAGUAUCCCACCUGGGGAGUACGACCGCAAGGUUGAAACUCAAAGGAAUUGACGGGGGCCCGCACAAGCAGUGGAGUAUGUGGUUUAAUUCGAAGCAACGCGAAGAACCUUACCAGGGCUUGACAUAUACAGGAAUAUGCUAGAGAUAGCAUAGCUCCUCGGAGUCUGUAUACAGGUGGUGCAUGGUUGUCGUCAGCUCGUGUCGUGAGAUGUUGGGUUAAGUCCCGCAACGAGCGCAACCCCUGUUUCUAGUUGCCAGCACGUAAAGGUGGGAACCCUAGAGAGACUGCCGGUGAUAAAUCGGAGGAAGGUGGGGACGACGUCAAAUCAUCAUGCCCUUUAUGUCCUGGGCUACACACGUACUACAAUGGCUACAACAAAGAGAAGCGAAGCAGAGAUGUGGUGCAAAACUCAAAAAAGUAGUCUCAGUUCGGAUUGAAGGCUGAAAUUCGCCUUCAUGAAGCCGGAAUUGCUAGUAAUGGCAGGUCAGCAUACUGCCGUGAAUACGUUCCCGGGCCUUGUACACACCGCCCGUCACACCAUGAGAGUUGGGAAUACCCGAAGCCUGUGAGCUAACUUUUAGGGGCAGCAGUCGAAGGUAGAAUCAAUGAUUGGGGUGAAGUCGUAACAAGGUAACCAA